Molecule: ribosomal RNA, 446 nt
Filed under: uncultured bacterium
Lineage: Bacteria
Description: SSU rRNA
Rfam family: Bacterial small subunit ribosomal RNA
Source: RNAcentral
AGAGCGAACGCUGGCGGCAGGCCUAAUACAUGCAAGUCGAACGGACCCUUCGGGGUUAGUGGCGGACGGGUGAGUAACACGUGGGAACGUGCCCUUUGGUUCGGAACAACUCAGGGAAACUUGAGCUAAUACCGAAUGUGCCCUUCGGGGGAAAGAUUUAUCGCCAUUGGAGCGGCCCGCGUCUGAUUAGCUAGUUGGUGAGGUAAAGGCUCACCAAGGCUACGAUCAGUAGCUGGUCUGAGAGGAUGAUCAGCCACACUGGGACUGAGACACGGCCCAGACUCCUACGGGAGGCAGCAGUAGGGAAUCUUGCGCAAUGGGCGAAAGCCUGACGCAGCCAUGCCGCGUGAAUGAUGAAGGUCUUAGGAUUGUAAAAUUCUUUCAGCGGGGACGAUAAUGACGGUACCCGCAGAAGAAGCCCCGGCUAACUUCGCGCCAGCAGCCGC